Molecule: ribosomal RNA, 621 nt
Filed under: Triticum aestivum (bread wheat)
Lineage: Eukaryota; Viridiplantae; Streptophyta; Magnoliopsida; Poales; Poaceae
Description: partial small subunit ribosomal RNA
Source: RNAcentral
AUGUUGCCAGACAGGAAGGAGUGGAACGUUGCCCUGAUUCAACAACUUUUUCAGCCUUUUGAUGCUGAGGAGAUAUGCAAGCUCAGAAUCCCUACCUCUUCGGUGGGCGACUGCAUAGCAUGGCAUCAUGAGAAAAAUGGCGUCUUUACAGUGAAGUCUGCCUACAAGCUGGCCGCUUCUUGCUUUGGGCGAGUGUCCCAACUCCCAUCAAGCUCGUCCAGUACACCAAAUGACCGCAGCAUUUUGGACCUCAUUUGGAAAGCGAAGGUCCCGGGCAAGGUCCGCAUUUUUGGUUGGAGGAUUGCCACCAAAACUCUUGCCACAAAAAAGAACAAAUGGAGGCGCACUCUUGAGCUGGAUGACACCUGCAACAUUUGUGGUAAUGGAGUGGAGGACGAACACCAUGCGGUUAUCAUGUGCACAAAGAGCAGAGCUCUACGUGCUGAGAUGAGAGAAGUCUGGUCCCUUCCGGAGGAAAGCAAGCUGUGGUACACGGGGGAUGAUUGGCUCCAACUUGCACUGAGUACGGGUGAUGAGGAGAUGCGCUCGAGGUUAUUGCUCCUCCUCUGGCGCUGUUGGCAUCUGCGCGAGGACUGCAUUCGGAAGAAUGGGAGGGAAUCA